RNA transcript from Armigeres subalbatus, 1946 nucleotides. It is a transcript of the gene named max-binding protein MNT-like, with no coding region annotated. NCBI's taxonomy places the organism in Eukaryota, Metazoa, Arthropoda, Insecta, Diptera, Culicidae. The transcript is spliced from 3 exons. The record is from RefSeq and is a predicted model, not a curated record.
CCAAAAAUAAGAGUUCUGUGCAAAAGUGUAAGAGCAAGCUGUCAACAGUGUAAAAACCAACGAGCAGUACCAAACCCUCCGUUGAUGGGCAAUCUUCCAGCAGCGAGACUUGCGGCUUUCGCCAGACCAUUUUCGUAUGUCGGGGUCGACUAUUUUGGCCCGAUUUCUGUGGCAGUUGGACGAAGACUCGAGAAGCGAUGGGGGGUACUGAUAACAUGUCUAACAAUACGAGCUAUUCAUGUGGAAAUUGCGCAUUCUCUAAAUGCCGACUCGUGUAUCAUGGCUCUGAGGAACUUUAUGGCUAGGCGAGGUGUACCAAUACGUAUUUUCAGCGAUAGAGGCACGAAUUUCGUAGCAGGUAGUAAAGAACUCGAAGCAGCGUUGAAAAACAUGGACCAAGACCAGGUGAUACGGGAGAUUGUUAGCCCUAACACUGAUUGGGAAUUUAUUCCCCCUGCCUCUCCACACAUGGGAGGAAGUUGGGAGCGAUUAGUGCGGUCCGUCAAAGUCAACCUACAGAAGAUGAAACCUCAACGUAACCCGACAGAUGAAUCAUUGCGCAACAUACUAAUCGAAAUUGAACAUACUGUCAAUUCGCGUCCUCUGACGUUUGUUCCUGCCGAGGACUUCGAUGCUCCUGUUCUCACUCCAAAUCAUUUUCUCAUGGGAUCGUCAAACGGACUGAAACCUGCAACACCUCUCGACGAUAGCUGCGGUAUACUAAGACGAGCAUGGCGUGCUUCUCAAGCGGAGGCAAACCUUUUCUGGCGAAGAUGGAUACGCUACUACCUUCCGGAACUAACUAAGCGCUCAAAGUGGUUCGGUAAGGUCAAACCGAUAGGUGUGAACGACGUAGUCGUAAUAGUAGACGCCGGCCUACCCAGAAACUGUUGGCCUAUGGGGCGUGUUAUUUCGGUGAAAGACAGCAAAGAUGGCCAGGUAAGAUCGGCAACCGUGCAGACCCGAACGGGAAUCUAUGAACGACCAGCCACAAAGAUAGCUGUACUUGAUGUUCGACGCGAUGGAUCAGUAAGCCAGGACAUAGGCGUACGUGGGGGGGAGUGUCACGACCCCUCGGUCGGCGCGUCGCUUCAUCUGGGAUUGACAACGGAACGUCAAGCGUGAAACGUCAAACACCGGGCUCUCGGACGGGAUGACGGGACCACUUUUCGCUGACAAUAGUUUGGAUGAUAAACAGAGGAAUUGGUAUGCUGAAAACGAUGAAAUGUGCCUGCAAACGAAUGUGUAAAACUUAAAAUCCAGUUUAAAACUAGUUUUUCUUUUCUUUAUUUAAAUAGUGUAUAAGUAAAUUAUAAUUCUCCUUGCUAUUCUAAUAUUAGGGUAGGGCGAAGUGUAUUACGAAUAUUGAAUAUGUGCCUAAAUUACCUAAAUAUUUUUCCAUUCGUAGAAAUUAACCUAAACUAUACCUAUACUUACACUAUACUGCUCAAAUCGGAUAAGAGUUAGAUAUUAGGAUUCACGGUGAGCCGAAUUGAUAAUGCGUUAAAUAACUAAAUUAAUUAAUGUAUUCGGUUGAUAGCUGAAUUCGUUUUGUAGGAUUUAAGCUAGUGAGCAGUGAGCACUGCUGAUAUUCGUAGCCUGAAGCGAGGGUGAAUAUUAGAACAAACCACGAAGGUGAAACAUUAAUUAUAUGAAGUGUUCUUACAGGAGUAAUAUUUCAACCAGAGUAGGAGUUGGGGAAUAGCAUAGGAAAGAGUAAGAACCCUAAACGGCUUACUUACGAUUUACUCAACCGUUACAGCGAUUCUACGGCGGUUUUCCAAAACUUCCUAAUGUCGCACUAUCCAAUAAUCACCGAAUCUACAGGUCCUACUCACUUGGUUCUUUCGAUACCACUAACUGACGAUUGAUCCGGAUUAUUUUGUAGUAUUUUUCACUACCAAGCUCACAAAUUCAAUUUCGGAAUAAAACUUUAUUAUCACCGA